Molecule: long non-coding RNA, 214 nt
Organism: Zophobas morio
Lineage: Eukaryota; Metazoa; Arthropoda; Insecta; Coleoptera; Tenebrionidae
Exons: 3
Source: RefSeq, a predicted model, not a curated record
CGUGACUAAACUCGUAUUCUGUAAUCUUUAGAAUCUCUUUACCUUUGAGUUCCACUUCGGGAGCAUCAGUUGAGGUGCUCCGGUCACAAUCACAGCCGGGCGGUCCAACAAAUCGAAAAAGAGAUACUCGGCUAUUUUGAAAGAGUUGAUACGCGCGAACUGAAUAUACUAUCCUCCACGAGGGAGUGGUUCCUUCUUUACCUUAUAUUUGGGG